CAGCCUGCUCCUUUAAGCACUGGCUUUUCUGCAUUUGUCUCAGUUACAGCACAGUCACUGUGGAAAAUAUUUAUACAUGGGAAAUGUCUUACUAAUUAACCUUUUAAUUGAUACCUUCACUCUGGGACAAAUGACACCAGGAAGAUCUUUCCUACCUUGGGAGCCGCUGCUUACAAACAGAUUUAUAGCUAAAAAUAACCCAGCAGUCCUGGAGGGAUCUGGCUAAUUGACUUCUCUGCUUAUCCCCUGGUAGGUUAUGAAAUCUGCAAGGGUUUGAGGGAUCAGGGGAGGGAUUGCAGCAGCCUGCUGCUUUGGCAGUAAUCACCACAGUUUGCAACCAGAGCCUAAACAAGGGACAGCUGUGUGGAAUUCACAACAAACAGAAAAGACAUUCUGCAAGCUCAGGGGCCCUUACCCAGGCCACCUGGACAUUUGCCAAGGUUAGCACUGCUUGCCAGUUAGAGCUCCACUUUGGUUCCUCUGAUCUGUUAGACCCCUGUGGGUUGGAGCAUCCUGCUAAUCUGUCCCUCCCAUCCCCACCCUGGUGAGUUUAGGAGGGACAGAGCAAACACGGAUAAAGUGCCUCCCACAUACAACAGAUUGAUGCCAACCAGAGUGACCAGUCUUCAGCCAAGCCAGAAACAUCUCUUAAACCUUCUGCAUUAAAGCUAUCAGGAGAAGCCAUCUCUGCAGAUACCAGAUCCUACACACACUCCCACUAGUAGUGGGUUAUAAAACACUGGGCGUGGGCAGCUAAAAUGCACAUCAGAGCGCACUCCAGGAGAGUGCAGCUCUCACCUAGCGACAAAGGGGCAUUGCCUUCUGACACCGGCUAACUGCCUUUCCACACUCCAGGGUACUAACGCUAUACUGAAAACUGACAGGAUUUUGGAGUUUAUUCUUCCCCUGCUCUUUACAAGAGAAGACACAGAAGAUGCUAAAUUGCCACACUCAGUCCAGUUCUCUUAAAUUAUUGUCAUCUUUAUUACCUCCACUUGUGUGCAAACGGAAACGGUGGUGUCCUUAAAAAUAACAAAUGUAUUUUAUAUACAUUUUUUCCAUAUGUACAAGUGAACAUCCACACUUACAUUUUUCUUUUGCAUAGCAAAAGAUAUAGAAUAUUGACAUAGGAGAACACGGGAUCAGGUACAAAAAAAAAGGCUAAAAAAAUUUCACAACAGUGCAAAAAUAUCUUACACGACAGCAUGGAAUGGAACAAUUUUUUUUUCAAAUAUAGAAAAAUGAAGAAAACGCCCUCUCAGAUAUUAAAUUUUUCAUUGUAAACAAAAUGCAACAUCUCUCCCUCAAGACAGCUGUUUGGAGAAUUUGGCAGAUCUUCAGGGGUCUCUGGUCAACAACCCAAAGCUCAUGCACCAAGCCAGCCAAACUGUUCCUGUCCUACUUGAAAAUGAACAAAUAUUUUUUAACAAGAGGUGGAAACUGCCAAUGAAAUUGAGACAUGACCCCUGGGGAACUGGAACAGGGGGCCCAGCGAGCUGGCACCUGUCCAGUCAGUGACAGACCCAGGGAAUCUCACCUUGUGAGCACACAGGAUUGUGUAAAGCAUUGCACGUAUCUCCCUUGACUUUCCGUCCUGUGCACAGGCUGUCCUUUGCCUCUGGCUUCCUGCCUCCCAGGGGCCCCCGCAGGUUCCGGACCCUGCCGCCCAGAG
Molecule: non-coding RNA, 1672 nt
Organism: Chelonoidis abingdonii (Abingdon island giant tortoise)
Lineage: Eukaryota; Metazoa; Chordata; Testudines; Testudinidae
Source: RefSeq, a predicted model, not a curated record